GGACGGCCCGCCCGAGGACCCUAAACUCUGUUUUUAGUGGAACUUCUGAGUAAAACAAACAAAUAAAUCAAAACUUUCAACAACGGAUCUCUUGGUUCUGGCAUCGAUGAAGAACGCAGCAAAAUGCGAUAAGUAAUGUGAAUUGCAGAAUUCAGUGAAUCAUCGAAUCUUUGAACGCACAUUGCGCCCGCCAGUAUUCUGGCGGGCAUGCCUGUUCGAGCGUCAUUUCAACCCUCAAGCUCAGCUUGGUGUUGGGACUCGCGGUAACCCGCGUUCCCCAAAUCGAUUGGCGGUCACGUCGAGCUUCCAUAGCGUAGUAAUCAUACACCUCGUUACUGGUAAUCGUCGCGGCCACGCCGUUAAACCCCAACUUCUGAAUGUUGACCUCGGAUCAGGUAGGAAUACCCGCUGAACUUAA
Molecule: ribosomal RNA, 418 nt
Filed under: Fusarium sp. AQGS 8
Lineage: Eukaryota; Fungi; Ascomycota; Sordariomycetes; Hypocreales; Nectriaceae
Description: eukaryotic LSU rRNA
Rfam family: 5.8S ribosomal RNA (bases 72-225)
Source: RNAcentral